RNAcentral lists this ribosomal RNA (693 nucleotides) under Dujonia oleophila. Its description in RNAcentral is "eukaryotic LSU rRNA". The stretch from base 96 to 693 matches the Rfam family "Eukaryotic large subunit ribosomal RNA", at positions 1 to 602 of the family's 3401-position model. Lineage: Eukaryota; Fungi; Ascomycota; Pichiomycetes; Serinales; Debaryomycetaceae. The record is from RNAcentral.
UGAACUGUUUUCAAUGUAUUAGGUUUAUCCAACUCGUUGACCAGUAAAGUAUUUGUUUAUUACACAGGCUCGGCCUUACAACAACAAACAAAGUUUGACCUCAAAUCAGGUAGGACUACCCGCUGAACUUAAGCAUAUCAAUAAGCGGAGGAAAAGAAACCAACAGGGAUUGCCUUAGUAACGGCGAGUGAAGCGGCAAAAGCUCAAAUUUGAAAUCUAGCACUUUCAGUGUUCGAGUUGUAAUUUGAAGAAGGUAACUUUGGAAUUGGCUCUUGUCUAUGUUCCUUGGAACAGGACGUCACAGAGGGUGAGAAUCCCGUGCGAUGAGAUGUCCAAUUCUAUGUAAAGUGCUUUCGAAGAGUCGAGUUGUUUGGGAAUGCAGCUCUAAGUGGGUGGUAAAUUCCAUCUAAAGCUAAAUAUUGGCGAGAGACCGAUAGCGAACAAGUACAGUGAUGGAAAGAUGAAAAGAACUUUGAAAAGAGAGUGAAAAAGUACGUGAAAUUGUUGAAAGGGAAGGGCUUGAGAUCAGACUUGGUAUUUUGUGUUCCUUAUUCUUUUUGGAUUUGGUUCCUCACAGCUUACCGGGCCAGCAUCGGUUUGGAUGGUAGGAUAAUGACAUUGGAAUGUAGCUUUGCUUCGGUGAAGUGUUAUAGACUUUGUUGAUACUGCCUAUCUAGACCGAGGACUGCGUCU